Non-coding RNA from Mus caroli (Ryukyu mouse), 1385 nucleotides. The record is from RefSeq and is a predicted model, not a curated record. NCBI's taxonomy places the organism in Eukaryota, Metazoa, Chordata, Mammalia, Rodentia, Muridae.
AUGUCGCUGCUGGAAGUUCUGCGAGGGCCGCAGACACGGAAGGCGGAAGGAAUGGCAGGUGUCUUCUCGGAUCGGGGAACCUCUGCUUUCGGAGGAGCCUUGGCGCUCAGGGUCACUAGGAACACGAAAAUUAACACAGAAAAUAAGGCCAAAGUCAGUAUGGCAGGUGCCAAGCGUGUGCCUCUGACAGUUACUGCUGCUUCCAAGCCCGGGCUGAGACGGAGAACUUCUCUUGGAGACAUUGGUAAUAAAGUCAGCGAAGAGCUACAGGCAAGAGUGCCUCUGAAAAGGGAAGCGAAAAUGCUAGGUACUGGAAAAGGUACUGUUAAAGUCUACCAAAACCUGUAGAGAAGGUGCCUGUGUGUGAACCAGAGGUGGAACUUCUUGAGCCUGAGCCUGAGCCUGAACAUGUUAGAGAAGAGAAGCUUUCUCCCGAACCUAUUUUGGUUGAUAAUCCCUCUCCAAGCCCAAUGGAAACAUCUGGAUGUGCGCCUGCAGAGGAGUAUCUGUGUCAGGCUUUCUCGGAUGUAAUCCUUGCAGUGAGUGACGUAGACGCAGAUGAUGGAGCGGACCCAAACCUCUGUAGUGAAUAUGUGAAAGAUAUCUAUGCUUACCUCAGACAACUGGAGGAAGAGCAGUCAGUUAGACCAAAAUACCUACAGGGUCNUGAAGUCACUGGAAACAUGAGAGCUAUCCUCAUUGAUUGGCUAAUACAGGUUCAGAUGAAAUUUAGGCUGCUUCAGGAGACCAUGUACAUGACUGUGUCCAUUAUUGAUCAGUUCAUGCAGAACAGUUGUGUGCCCAAGAAGAUGCUGCAGCUGGUUGGUGUAACGGCCAUGUUUAUUGCAAGCAAAUAUGAGGAGAUGUACCCUCCAGAAAUAGGUGACUUCGCCUUUGUGACUAACAACACUUACACUAAGCACCAGAUCAGACAGAUGGAGAUAAAGAUUCUCAGAGUUCUGAACUUCAGCCUGGGUUGCCCUCUGCCUCUGCACUUCCUCUGCAGAGCAUCUAAAGUCGGAGAGGUGGACGUCNAGCAGCACACUUUGGCCAAAUACCUCAUGGAGCUCUCCAUGCUGGACUACGACAUGGUACAUUUUGCUCCUUCUCAAAUUGCAGCUGGGGCUUUCUGCUUAGCCCUGAAAAUUCUUGACAACGGUGAAUGGACACCAACUCUGCAGCACUACCUGUCCUACACAGAAGAAUCCCUGCUUCCUGUUAUGCAGCACCUGGCUAAGAAUGUAGUCAUGGUGAACUGUGGCAUUACAAAGCACAUGACUGUCAAGAACAAGUAUGCAGCAUCCAAGCAUGCUAAGAUCAGCACGCUGGCACAGCUGAACUGUACACUAGUUCAGAACUUGUCUAAGGCCGUGACAAAGGCAUAA